RNAcentral lists this ribosomal RNA (429 nucleotides) under uncultured bacterium. RNAcentral describes it as "bacterial SSU rRNA". It matches the Rfam family "Bacterial small subunit ribosomal RNA", at positions 355 to 776 of the family's 1533-position model. The record is from RNAcentral.
UUAGGAAUAUUCGUCAAUGGGGGAAACCCUGAACGAGCAAUGCCGCGUGAGUGAUGAAGGCCCUAUGGGUUGUAAAACUCUGUUAUUUGGGAAGAAAGGCUAGUAUAGGAAAUGAUGCUAGUUUGACGGUACCUUAUCAGAAAGCCCCGGCUAACUACGUGCCAGCAGCCGCGGUAAUACGUAGGGGGCGAGCGUUAUCCGGAUUUAUUGGGCGUAAAGCGUGUGUAGGCGGUUUGUUAAGUAUAAGAUUAAAGCCCGGGGCUCAACUCCGGUUCGUCUUAUAAACUGGCAGACUUGAGUGUGGUAGAGGCAAGUGGAAUUUCUAGUGUAGCGGUUAAAUGCGUAGAUAUUAGAAGGAACACCAGUGGCGAAGGCGGCUUGCUGGGCCAUUACUGACGCUGAGACACGAAAGCGUGGGGAGCAAAUAGG